UUUGAAACCACACAUAUUUCUAAACAUACAGAAGCAUAAGAUGUUAGCUAGUUCUGGAUGAUGAUAGCACAUGCUAGCUGUAGAGAUCUUUUAGAAACCACACGGGUAGUCAGUAACAUAACAUGUUAGCUUGUUCUGGAUGAUGAUAGCACAUGCUAGCUGUAAAGAUCUUUUAGAAACCACACGGACAGUCAGUAACAUAAGAUGCUAGCUAGUUCUGGAUGAUGAUAGCACAUGCUAGCUGUAAAGAUCUUUUAGAAACCACACGGGUAGUCAGUAACAUAACAUGUUAGCUAGUUCUGGAUGAUGAUAGCACAUGCUAGCUGUAGAGAUCUUUUAGAAACCACACUGGUAGUCUGCACUAAAUUUUGAUUGAUACUUUCUCUUCAGAUUAUAAACUAUUACUGUUCCACAAAUGUUAAUCAGCUGUUCUAUUUCUCCUCUGUGUGCUAGCAAGUGCUAAUCAAUGCUAAUUAGCAUCCAUCUUUUGUGCUGUAGAGAAUGUCAGGUCUGCUGAGAGUGCCUCCUCUAAAAUCCACUAGAAUCACAUCAGAACCAAUUCAUAUGAAGACGAGAAAAAAUAUCAUUCAUUCAUGUUCAGAAAUCUUAGGGUCAUGGUACACCUGGUUGAAAAAAAGACAUUUUAAUUGAAAAAAAAAAAAGAAAGAAAAAAAAAAGGGUGUUAGUGUUCAUGUGUAUGGACAAACGUAUUCAUAAAGGAGCAUUUACACAAGAAAUUUGGUAUCCAUGAAAAUCCAGUUAGUUCGGGAUAAUGUUUGUAUCCGAUUAGAGCUCCUGAGUCUGUGUAAAUUUCAAUAUAAACAGUUCAGUUGUUGUGCCUCCUAUCCAGAUCAAUGCCACUUUGUAACCAUCAGAUUGCACCGUUAAAUCAACACCUGACGGAAAUGACGCGGCCCAAAGCGUCUUAUGUUUUUGCUCGUGUGCAGACGUUUUCAGACGUUUCAGUGUGGACAAGACAUUUUGUGAAGACAUUUGAAAAUCCAGAUUAAUGUGGACGUAGCCUGACUAAGCCUAUCGACCCUCCUAACAGAAACUGAAGGAUACCCUGAGAAUCCGAGCUUAUAGAAGUUACUCAAGAUGUACAAGUAUUCCUUUAGGGUCUAUAUGCUAACGUGAAUCCCCAAAUUUAAACUGAUGCAUAAAUUAUUAUCCUAUGGAAAGGGGCAAAACAAAUCUAACUGGUAUACAUGGAAGAUAAGCGGUCGGACAGUACAGGACAGAAUAAUGAGGAAAUUAACGACCAUUUAC
Long non-coding RNA from Ictalurus punctatus (channel catfish), 1269 nucleotides. NCBI's taxonomy places the organism in Eukaryota, Metazoa, Chordata, Actinopteri, Siluriformes, Ictaluridae. The record is from Ensembl.